AGGAAGCUAAGCGAGCGGGUCUCGCCAUUCCAGAGUUUUCUGGCUUGCCUAGCAUAGCUACUACGUGCCUGGCUGGCUUAGAGAAGAAGGGGGAGUAGCCCCCCACAACCCGCCCCUCACCACCGCACACACUGGAGGCUGGAGGCUGGAGCCUGCAGUCUCAUGGCUCGCCUCGCUGUUACGGCUUUUCUGGCUUUGCCCACCCAGCUGCUCCAUGCCAGGAGAAAGAAGAGCCAUCUGCUAUAUGCUGGAGGCUGGAGCCUGUGGCCCCAUGGCUUGCCUCAUUGCGGCUGGUGGCAAUGAUGGAGACUGCAGAGCUCCAGCAAGACAGGUUAGCAGUUCUCACCAGAGCCCUCUGCAGUGGAAUUCAGGAUUGAAUCAAAUUCACCGUCGGUUGUAUGAUCCCAGCAGUUAUCAGCCCUUGUAGAAUGCUACAACAACAAUCAAGGUUACAGUGGACCUUUAUGGGAAAGCAUUUUUUUCCCUCUCUUCUCAGGACUCUAAGGCUAUGUGAGGUGAGGAUUCCAGGUCCUUUAUGAGAGUUUGUUGGAAACAAACUGUCCCUUGCAACAGUGGGGGAGUUUGACCUUUGCCGUUGCUCUACAUUUCAGACUAAUUACCUGCUCCGUGGGCAGGCUGGACAAUAAGUCCACCAGGCAUGGCGUCUGAGUUCUGGCAGCUUGAAAGUGAGGCUUCAGCAUCAAGAAUAGUAGAGGGUCUCUUCUGGCAAUGGUUUAACACCUUCCUGACUCAAGAAGGAAUCCUGAGGGGUACUGUUCAAUGGGAUUUAAAGAGUCAGCACUGGAUUUAGAAUCCAGAAGAGAUGGAAAGUUUGGGGUCCCUUUCUACAUGAAUGCUCUGUUGGCUCACACUUUCAUUCAUUCACUUAUGCAGUGCUGCCUGAUCCCCUGUCCUCUAUAAGACAUUGUGCUGAAUAUAAGGAAGCAGAUAAUAUGAUUCAGAAAAAAGUUUCUCAAUAUUUAGCAUAUACAAAGUUCUCCUGGGAAGACUGUUAACAAGGCAGAUUUCUGUCACAAAUACUAAAGAUUUUAAUUUGGAAAAUCUGGAGUGAGGUCUCAUGUCUACAUCUUUUACAGGCAGCUUUGUAAUCCUUAUAGAAGUGGCUCUUGACUGACAUGAUGGGAGACACUAGCUUAGUGGGGAGAAGUACAGGCAUGCGAUCUUAUAGAUACAGAGUCAUCUCAGUCAUAGCCUCUAAAAUAAGCUCUCCUCAGUUGGAAGCCUAGUUCCACCUCUUAUUAGCUGUUUGAAUUAGUUAAGAUAAUGCCAGCUGCUGUAUGAACUCCCCAGUUUCAAUGCCUGAAUACCUUUGUUGUGCUUCUAGGUGGAUGUUCCUGGUUGAUUGGUAUAGUCAGAAAGACUCAAGAGUCUUUAUUUUCCGUGGCCUCCCUAGAGUUCUCUGCAUCCAGAUAGCAGACAAAAGCAGAUAGUAGGGAAAAGCACACCUGAUUAUUAAAUACCUUCACUUGGAAUGGACACAUAUCACUUCCACUUGGAUUCUAUUCCUGAGAACUAGUCACAGGUUCUACCUGGAUGCAAGGUGGCUGGGGAAUAGUCAUGUUGGGUCCUGCUUCCAUGCAACCACUCUGUAUUAUGGCAAUAAAACAGUAAAUUUUGGCCGACAAUAGCCAUCUCUGCCACAUUGUGUAAACUUAGCUGAGUUUCUAAAUCUCACUGUCCUUAUCUGUUAAGUGAAGCUAACAGUACCUAACUCAUCAGGUUGAUAAAAGGAUCAUAUGAGCACAUAAAUAUAAUACUAUAUGUACAGUGCCUGGCACACAGUAGGCAGCCAGUACAUUUUAGCUGUUAUUUAUGAAUUCUGUCCCAAUGAGAUAAUGGCAUGUACAGACAACAAGGUAGUCAGAUGUCAGUACCCCGAGAACAGAGAAGCUAGAGUGUAUGGGGAUUUGGAAGAGGGAAGAGACCACGUGAAAAUGUUGCGAUCAGAGAAGACUUCAAAGAAUUGAUCUGUGAACUGGGUUUUGGAGGAUGAAUAGGAUUUGUGCAUGUAAAGUAUGAGAUCAGGGCAUUCCAGGCAAAAACAAUAGUAUGCAAAUAGGCAUGGCAGAGAGAAAGGACAAAAAAUGUGCAGUGGACAUUUAAUAUGGUUGCAGUAAAUAGGUGAGUGAUCGUGCCUUAAAUAUCAGACAAAUGAAGUAUUCAAGAAGUUCAUUAAGAAGCUAUGAGGCCCAGUGGGUUGGCUUAUGCCUGUAAUCCCAGUACUUUGGGAGGCCAAAGUGGGCAGGGAUUACCAGACCACCCAAGUCAGUAUGAUGAAAUCCCAUCUCUACUAAAUACAGAAAAAUUAGCUGGACUUGGUGGUGGGUGCCUGUAAUCCCAGCUGCUUGGGAGGCAGAAGAAGGAGAAUUGCUUGAACCCGGGAGGCAGAGGCUGCAGUGAGCUAAGAGUGUACCACUCCACUCCAGCCUGGGUGACAGAGUGAGACUCCAUCUCAAAAAAAAAGAAAAGUAGUUGGUGUUACAGCUCUCUUAGAAUUUGUCUAGCAGGCUUUCUGGUUUUUGCUGGAAAACCCCCCCACCAAAAAAAAAAAAAGUUAUGAUAAGGCCAGUUGCAAUGUCUAACAGCUGUAAUACCAGCACUUUGAGAGGCUAAGUAGGGAAGGAUCACUUGAGGCCAGAAGUUCAAGACCAGCCUGGGCAACACUGUGAGAUCCUGGUUACGAUGGUAAAUUUCAUGUUAUAUGGUUUUUCUUCAAUCAUUAUUCCUAUUAUAAGGAAUAAUACAAUACAUUAUUUAAAGAAUACCAUUAUCAGUAUAGUUGAAGUCCCCUAUAUAUCCCUGCAAACUAUAUAUCCUAUUCAUUUCCCUCCCACAGUCAACCACCAGCCUGAACCUGGUAUUUAUCAUUCCUAUGCAUUUUGUUUCAUUUUACUACUUCAUAUGUAUGCAUUCAUGGGCAAUAUAAUACUAUAGUGGAUAUUCAAUCAUUUUGUAUAAUGGUGUCAUAUGAAUGUAUUGUUGUGCCCCCAACUUUUUGUCCCACAUUAUGUUUGGGAGACUAUUCUGUGCUAACAUACCUCUACUUCAGUGGUUCUCAAACUUUAGUGUGCACUAAAAUUGCCUGGAGGGCUUAGUAAUACACAGAUUACUGAGCUCAACCCCCAGAGUUUCUGCAGUUGGGCUAAGCUAGGACCUGAAAAUUAACAUUUCUCGUAAGUUUCCAUAUGAUACCAGUGCUGUUAGUCCUGGAGAACUACUGCUUAUUAAUUUUUUUGCUGUUAGAUAUUAACUAUCCCAAUUUAUGUAUUCAUUCUACCAUUGAUAGAUAUCUAGGUUGCUUCCAGAUUGUUUUGUAUGAUGCUACGAAUAUUGUGUACAUGUGGGACAGUUUCACUUGCAUAGAAAAGGCUGUCCAACUCUAUCCAUCCUUGUUGAAUAGCUUCUUUGCACACCAGCCUUUGUUCAAGAGUCCUCAUUGUUCCACAUUCCCGUCUGCCCUAAGUACUGUCAGAAGUUUUAACUUUUGCCAAUCUUAGAGGGUGAAAUGCUUAUUGUCGUUCUCAUCUACGUUUUCCUGUUAGUGAGAUUGAGCACCUGCAGCAAGUGCUCCAUUUUUUCUUGCCUUACCUGAGUUUCCCUCUAGCUCUCACAUGUCUCCAAGCACUCUGCUGGCUUCCCACUGUAGUCUCCUGCAUCUAUCUUUCUUCUUUUCUGCCUGAGGGCUUUACCCAGGAGAUGGGAUGACUCCUCUGUUGUGACAGUGUGGGGUCAUGUGCCACAUGGUAUCUCAGAGAGUAUCACUGGGGCUUUACCCUGUUACCCUCUGUGGUAAAAUGAUCAUUGAUUCUUGGUUUUGUUUCACUUUUUUACAAUCCUCGUCUUACUCUUCCCACUUUCUUGUGAUCCUUGGAGUCACCUUUCAAGUAAACUACUUGCACAAAAGUCUUGUUUCAUGGUGUACUUUUGGGGGAACCCAAACUAAGAGCAUCAUUUUAUGUUCAUAGGAUGUUUAUUUAUUUGUUUGAAUAGCAGGUUGUUUCUAUUUUUGCUCAUUUUCCUGUUGGCAUGCUUGUCUUUCACUUUUUAAUUUGUAAGUUAUAGUAUAUACUGAAUAUUGACCUUCAUUAUUUAUGUAGAGAGAGAAUAUUUUAUCCCAGUUUGUAAUUAUCUUUUUACUUUUCAGUGGUGUCCUUGAUGUGUAGAAAUUUCAAAUGCAGCGUAGGAGAAACUAUCAACAAUCUCCUUUAUGAUCUGUGUGCUUCUGUUUUUCCUUAAGACAUCCUUGUCGAAGUCAUAGAAAUAUUCUUCAUCGGUUUAAGGCUGGGUGCACUGGCUGGCUCACUCCUGUAAUCCUAGCAGUUUGGGAGGCCAAGGCAGGCGGAUCAUAUGAGGUCAGGAGUUCCAGACCAGCCUGGCCAACAUGAUGAAAACCUGUCUUAACUAAAAAUACAAAAAUUAGUCAGGCAUGGUGGCACAUGCCUGUAAUCCCAGCACUUCAGAGGCUGAAGGAGGAGAAUCACUUGAAUUUGGGAGGCUGGGGUUGCAGUGAGCCAAGAUUAUGCCACUUCACUCCAUCCUGAGCGAAAGAGCAAAACUCUCAAAAACAAAAACCAAAAAAAACCAAAAAAACUUUAUCUGUUUCUAAAAUUGAGGUCUAUAAUUCAUGUGAAAUUGGUAUUUAUUUGGUGGAAGGAAUGGUGCCCCGCCUCCACACACAAAAAAAAUCUCAACAUCUUAACUCCCAAAAUGUGUAAAUGUGACCUUUGGAGAAAAGGUCUUUGCAGUGUAAUUAAGGACCUCCAGAUGACAUAAUCCUAGAUUAUUUAGGUAAGCUCUCAAUCCGAUAGCAAGUGACAUUUUGAGUCAGAAGUGGGAGAUGCACACACAGGAGAAGACCAUGUGAAGACAGAGGCAGAAACUGGAAUGACACAGCCACAAGCCAAGGAACCCUAGAACCACCAGAAACUGGAAUAGGCAAGGAAUAGCACCUUCAAGGGGGCGAGUGUGGUGUUUCCCAUACUUUGGUUUUAGAAUUUUGGCCUCCAGACUGCUAUAGAAUAAACCUGUUGGUUUUGCCACUUGAUUUUUGGCUGUUAGUUACUGCAGCCCUAGGUACCUCAUUCACAACUAGAGGGGCCUCCAUCUGACUAAUGUUUCUGGACUUUUUACCCAGAGGAGGCAACAUGACUUAAACUACAGAGUUUCAACCCCCCACCCCCCAAGUCUCCAUUAAUUGGGGUCUGCCUACCUGCACACCUUUUCUCACCUGCUCACUUACAUGUUGCAAAGGGCCUGCCCCUAUUAGGGAGGGGUGUGAAUGUGAAGAAGUUGUGACGGUGUCUGGAUAAAUGCUUUAUUCAGGGUUGGUUGGCAAGAUUGCUUUCCAACAGGCUGACCCACUUUACUCUAGUUCAUUUGUAAUAAUGGUGAUAUUUUCAUCUCUAUCUGCCUGAUUCUUUGGCCUAUCUCUCAGGUGGAGAAAGUAGACUGCUAUUUGUUCGCUUCCUAAAGCCUCGAAAUAAAUCAAAGGGGCAAGGCAGAGGCUUGAGCAGAAAAUGAGCCAAGAAUUUGAUGGUAGGCAAUAUCCAGAUUAAAAAGAGAUGCCUUAUGUAGUGCCACUUGGGCAUUUCAGGAAUUGGCCUGUGCAUUUGCUAACGGCACCUCUUCUUCAAGAUACUUUACUUUCAUCUACUACAAAAUGGUUAUAGUAGGCUGCUUGGGAUAGAACCAGAGUGUUUACUGUUAUCUUCCUGGAAUUGCCACAGUUCAGGUGCAGACAAUGCCUAAGAUGAGAAAGACGCCGUCCAGGGUUGUGUGGUGCCCAGUCUGUCCUAUGGUCAGUAAGUAAUGGUUCUUAUACCAUAUUAAGGAAAAAGAUGAUACCCAUAUGCCACAUCUCUCCCUCCCUCCUUCAGUAGAAGCAUCCCUCAUUCAAUUCAGCCCCUCAGAGGUCAUUUGCUGGAUUAGACUUGCAUAUCUGUGACUCGGUUUGGACUCCAGGAAACUUAUUUGUUAUAUACUUACCUAAAAAUGUCAAGUUCUGCAUGGACCGGCCUUUGACAUUAUCUUACUUUAGGUCUGGUACCAGACCCUUCCUCUCAGAGCUACAAAGCACCUGGCCCUGCAGCUCAUUUUUGCUGUACACCAGUCAGUCGAUCCCAAAACAAUUCACAGAUGCUCAUCCAGCCCUGCCAUUGGUCGGCAUCUGUGUAUGCUCACAGCCACCUCUGCUCUCCCAGCUCUGCAACAGCCUAGGAUAGUAAGGGGCACAUAGAAAGUGCUCAAAAGUGCUGAGUGAACAGAUAGAUGAGUAAGUGUUCUGUAUGUGUAAACAGCAUAGCUUCCUCCCUGAGUCACAUUUGCCUGCACGGUAUUCAUCAUAGAUUGCCUUUGUAACUUUUUCCAUACCCAUAUUCUGCCAGCGCUAUUAUCUCCUUUACAUUGACUCACUUGUUUUCCUUAAAUGAUUUGAGUUAAAAACCCAAGGGGAAGCUCUAUAUUCUAAAUGAAAAUUGGUGUCUUUCUACUACAGUAAAGCCUUCAGUCCGCAUACCACAGCAAACCAUAUCAUGUAUUACCUGUUGUGCACAUAUCACACUUUGAGAAGUGUGGGCCUAGCACUUGGGUCUACCGUGACCUGAACCAAGAUCCAACAAGCUCCCUGGAGCCAGCGGAAUAGUGCAUCUGAUCCCAACCUGCAGGCCUUGUCAAAGGCAGCACAGAGUGUCGCACUUGUUAGCAGCAGGACAAAAAGAGCUGGUGUCUGGAAGAACAAGGAGAGGUAGGCCACAGGCUCACAGGCUGUCAGCCCCUGUCAGAAGAAGACAGAGCCAGGCCUGUCAGCCAGAGGAAGUGAAUCAGAACAAUUAUUCAAAGUCAUUUGUUUGCAGGGCAAGGGAGAAGAGAUUUAUUUUUCUUCUUUUGCAGGAAAUGCUUAUGUGAGCACAGACCCUGCUGGGUAGGCAAGCACCUGCCAGGUCACUGGCCGGAAACCCAGGUAAUUCUAUACUCCACAUUUUCUGGAUGAAGGUCCCUCUGGCAUAGGCUGUCAGGGCUGUCAAAUGGCUCAUUGAGAAAGCCUCUGCUCAGCAUGCCAACAGAAGACACUGCUUUUCCACAUCUACUCCAAUGUCAGGGAAGAGGUGUCCCUGGGUGCUACAGCCUUGGGCAUGAUAGAGAGAGACCAACCAGGAGAGGCAGGGUAGGAUAGUCUGCUUGGCAAAGUGGUUGAGGCUGUUCUGGACCUGGGCGCAGGGCGCAAGGAAGCCACCACUAGUUCUGGGUGCCUUGGGAGGACCUUAGUUCACAAAGGAUAAAAGAAAUAAGGGGCUUAAUGAUUGAGCAUCUGCAAUGUGCUGGGCACUGUGCUAGCUGCUUUAAGAAUAAACAUUGGAUGCCUAUCUUCUACAGAUUUUCACAGUUAAGUAUUUUUAAAUAAUCAAAUAAUAUACGAAUAUAAGCACUCAUCUUACAGCUUGCUGGGAAGCUAAGGCAUUUUCUAGUUAUUUCUCUUUUCUUUUUAUUUUCUGUAUUUUUCUUUUAUUUACUUUUAUCUUAGGUUCAGGGGUACAUGUGAAGUUUGUUAUAUAGGUAAACUCGUGUCAUGGGGGUUUGGUGUACAGAUUAUUUUAUCACCCAGGUACUAAGCAUAGUACCCAAGAGUUAUUUUUUCUGACCUUUACCCUCCACCCUCAACUAUGCCCCAGUGUUUGUUGUUCCCCUCUUUGUUUCUAUGUGUUCUCAUUAUUUAGCUCUCCCUUACAAGUGAUAACGUGGUAUUUUGUUUUUUGUUCCUGCAUUAGUUUGCUUAGGAUAAUGGCCUCUGGCUUCAUCUGUGUUCCUGCAAAGGACAUGAUCUUAUUCUUUUUUAUGGCUGCAUAGUAUUCCAUGGUGUAUUUAUACCACAUUUUCUUUAUCCAGUCUACCAUUGAUGGCCACCUGUGCUGCAUAAACAUUUGUGUGCAUGAGUCUUUAUAGUAGAACUAUUUACAUUCCUUUGAGUAUAUACCCAGUGAUGAGAUUGCUGGGUUGAAUGCUAGUUCUGUUUUUAGUUCUUUGAGGAAUUGCCACACUAGCAUUCUGAGAAUUUCCAAAGACUACUUUAUGUUUCAAAAAUCGCUUUGCUGCUUGUCAUCUCUUCUGUUGGGUAGCUUCUCUGAGCUUAAGUCCAUUCACCAUGGUUGCUUUAAAAUCAUGUCUCUGCAUUGUCAGCAGUCUCUCAGGGCCACUUUGCACAUUGCUAUACCUAUUUCUCCACCAUGGUAGAGAAAUGAAGUUCUUCUUGACAUCCCAACACACAGCAAACACAAGGUCUUCAGGUUGGAUGUAUUUUGCCAAAUUGCAAAAAUAAAAUGAGGACACUAAACUGUGACUGGAUGGUCACAGAUUGUUGCUUCUAAGACACAUCCACCCUGUCCCUUCCCAGGAGGCCACUCCUGUCAUAGUGAUCCAAAGCCACUGACCUCAGGCCAUGAGGCGCGCAGCCUCAUUCAUCCAGACAAGAAACCUCCUUUUAAAGUCCUACAAUUACAAUUCCAGCCCCUUCACAUUCUCUGGGCCUCACAAAAGGAAGCAACAAAAUAAAAACUUAACAAAAAUAUGUCACUAGAGAUGCACCCACCUAUGAUGAAGAUAGCCUUUAAAUUAUUAAGUAGUGGUUUUAAAUAAGUGUGCAAAGCAUAUGCAUUUGAAACUCACCAUUCAUCUUUUUUUUUGAGAUGAAGUUUCACUCUCAUUGCCCAGGCUGGAGUGCAAUGGUGUAUUCUUGGCUCACUAUAACCUCCGCCUCCUGGGUUCAAGUGAUUCUCCUGCCUCAGCCUCCUGAGUAGCUGGGAUUACAGGCAUGUAACACCAUGUCUAGCUCAUUUUUUAUUUUUAGUAGAGAUGUGGUUUCUCCAUGUUAUUCACGCUGGUCUUAAACUCCUGACCUCAGGUCAUCCACCCACCUCAUUUAUCUUUAACUCCGAGUGACUAUAUUAUUUAUUCAUUUAACAGGCCCUUACAUAAACACCUAUUAAGUGCCAGCUACCAAAUAUUAGCUCAUUUAAUCCUAAUAGCAGCCUUAUGAGAUAGCAUCUACUUUUAUGCUCAUUUGACAGACAAGGACACUGAGGCACAGAGAGCCUUGCCCAAAGUCAUACAGCCAGCUGGUAGCAGAUUAAGGUUUACAGCAGGUCAUUUGGCUCUGUGGUCAGUGCUCCUAUUAGACUAUGCCGUUCUGCAGUGGUUCCCUUCUGCACAGAGGAAGAGCCAGUCCCAAGGAUAACCCCAAGCUUAAAUUGUAAGGCGUUAGAGAAGAAAUGAUGUGUCCACUCUUUCUAUGAUUUAGGGGUUCAGAAGUAUUAUGACUCAGACACAGAACUCCGUCCCCCAGUUACAUUAUCCAAAUUAGUCUUCAACACAGCCCAGCUAGUUUAUCUCUCCAUUGUUCAUACUACAAGUGGAGAAACUGAGGUACAGGAAGCAUUGAAGCUUAGAUUUGACCCCAAACCUUCUUUUAAAAAUGUGCUCUUUGCACUGUACAGAACAUUGUAUGUACAGGAUGCCACCAAUGAUCAUUUUUAAAUUUGUCUUAUUUCACGUUUUCUAUUUGCAAUUCUAAAGCUGGUUUUAACAGAAAAACUUUCCACAAAGCUUAGCUGCAUCAGUAGUGUGCUUGGAGCUAUGUAUGGGGGAAAAGAAGACAAUUUGUCAUGGUUCUAAUUAAAACUGUAAACCUUUGGGCUGAGCACAUUCCUAUGCAACUUACUUUAAGUAAUUCUUGCCUGUAGGUUUUCUUGUUCAUCCAUCAUCUAUUUGCUGACAGUCAGCAAGGAUCUAUUUUAAAUGCAUUCUUCCCCAAAGAUAGUGAUGAUGAUGAUAAUGAUGAUGAUGAUGACCAUAGUAAUGAUAUAAUUUUAACAUAUUUCUAUUCAUUCAACAUAUAUUUAUUUACGUGCUCACUUAAAGAAGUAUCAGACGGUAGCAUUAGAAUGCCAGAUUUGAAUGUUAACUCUACCACUUGUGUGACCAUGAGCAAGUGAUGUAUUCUCUCUGUGCUUCA
Callithrix jacchus (white-tufted-ear marmoset) is the source of this 10024-nucleotide non-coding RNA. The record is from RefSeq and is a predicted model, not a curated record. Lineage: Eukaryota; Metazoa; Chordata; Mammalia; Primates; Cebidae.